RNAcentral lists this non-coding RNA (29 nucleotides) under Homo sapiens (human). Lineage: Eukaryota; Metazoa; Chordata; Mammalia; Primates; Hominidae. The record is from RNAcentral.
UGGCCAUGGCUCUUCUUGUCCUUCCUCUU